This is a long non-coding RNA of Osmerus eperlanus (European smelt), 1499 nucleotides long. RefSeq lists it as uncharacterized. The record is from RefSeq and is a predicted model, not a curated record. NCBI's taxonomy places the organism in Eukaryota, Metazoa, Chordata, Actinopteri, Osmeriformes, Osmeridae. The transcript has 4 exons.
UCGCCCUUCAACAGUCCUGCAACAUGCAAAAUGAUGUCAUUGUCACCGCCAGCCAUCUGGCGGCAACCACUACAAUCUUGGAGAAGCCCUCCUAGCCCUCUCUUCCUCCACCCCUCUACUUCCUGCCCUGGCACCAGCCUGGCUCACAGCACACCACCCACUUCCCAAAACAAUCAGCAAGACACAGGCUGACCUGACAUCUGGCACACAGAACUACAAACAACUUUCUCCAUACUCCUGUACUGCUAUGUCACUAGGGUGUCCUGCCUCUUGCUUUCAGUAUACAAGUGUCCAAUCCUUGAAAUUCCAGGGAAACACAGGCAUUUUGACACAAUAUGUAUAAUUGUACUUAUUAAUAGUUGUGUCACAACUGGAUCCCUUGCAUUUCAAAUAUUAGAUGUUUGAAUAUCAGCAUUGGCUAAGAGAUUGGUGUCGGAAUACACCAGUCUGUCCAUCCAGGAGCAGUCACAGGCACCAACAAUAAUCAUAUCAAACUUUCCAUGGGAAGAGGAGAUUGGGAGAUGUCAUGAGCGCGGCACCCAGGAUGAGCGCGGCACCCCGGAUGAGCGCGGUCAGGUGAUGGAUUGUUUGUGAAGCUGCCUGUCAAGUGUUCGUGCUCUCUCUCUGUCACCGAGUGUGUGAAAGAGACAUGAUUUCAUUUCUCAGCGUAAUCUGACUGGUGUUUUUCCUCAGAGCUUAACAAUAGCUUCUUUGGUGAUCCAAUAGAAAGAGAAUCAUCCUGGGGGCACUCUUUGGCACCCUUACAAAACCACACCUCAAUCACUUCUCUCCCACUCUAUCUGUAUCACUAGGGAUGCAUGAGGUGGGUAGAGCUAUAGAUGUCUCCCUUGAGUAGAGUCUACUGAGUGUGUAGGGCAGCGAAACAUCGCUGGGAUUUGUGCCUGUUUAUAUUUUGUUUACCCCAGGCCACAUAGCUGACAAACAUGAAGGUUACCUCUACCUUUUGGUGGAGGUUUGACAAUUGUCUCUCCAGGCUACACACUUCCCAGAACAGAACCCUUCCUAACCUACCCCCACAUGUCAAAGAACUUGAUUCCUUUUCAUGCCAAUUCUUGCUUCUGCUUCUCACCAUUCUGAGUUGUCAUAACAGUUGCCCAGGGCAGUAGGAUAUCUGCAGGUUUAACUUCGAGCUCAGACGAGAAGGCCCUGGAGAAAGGAUGAGCUGAGCUUACCGGUCUUCCCCCACACCUGAGCUCCAUAGGGACAUGCAGGGUCCUAGACGCCAGGUUUGGAUACAUGCGCUCUGGAUUGGGCUGGAGAUGUUCAAAACUUUGUGUGUGGCCCCAACAGAGACACUGUUGCCUGAUCCCAACCUUGGUACCCUUGGGGCCUCGAAAAACUAGUUUCCUGGAACCAGAGAAGAUUUUGAGCUGGAUCAGUCUCCCUCUCCUGGCUAGACACCAUGGCAGCAGGGUUAUUGUUAGGCAGAAGAAUGCUCCCACAGUACAAAAUGACAACCCCAUACCUUUGCUUGAUGC